This 1242-nucleotide ribosomal RNA is filed under the name Triticum aestivum (bread wheat). RNAcentral describes it as "partial small subunit ribosomal RNA". The record is from RNAcentral. Lineage: Eukaryota; Viridiplantae; Streptophyta; Magnoliopsida; Poales; Poaceae.
CAGAUACAAGACUUGCACGUUGCUCAAAGAGAAGAAGAUAUUGGAUUCUAUGCUGGAUUUCUUGGUGCAUCAUAUAUGGUUGGUAGAGGUUUCGCGUCGAUCUUUUGGGGCAUGGUUGCAGAUCGCAUCGGACGAAAGCCUGUAAUUGUAUUUUCACUUUUCACGGUCAUUGUGUUCAACACUUUAUUCGGAUUAAGUGUGAAAUAUUGGAUGGCUAUCACUACAAGGUUGCUUCUUGGUGCACUAAACGGAUUUCUAGCACCAAUCAAGGCUUACUCCAUUGAAGUUUGCCGGGAUGACGAACAAGCUUUGGGCAUAUCAAUUGUCAAUACAGCAUGGGGAUUAGGCCUUAUAAUUGGCCCAGCAAUCGGGGGCUACCUUGCACAGCCAGCCAAACAAUAUCCACACAUUUUCCAUGACAAGUCAACGUUUGGGAGGUUGCCAUAUCUUCUUCCAUGUCUUUGCAUAUCAAUUUUCGCAACCUUCGCCCUCAUAAGCUGCAUAUGGCUUCCGGAAACACUACACAAGCACAACAAGUUUGAAAUGAGAGCUGAAACGGCUGAAGCUGGCACAACUCAGGAAAGUACAGAGUCACCUAAGAAGAGCUUAUGGAAAAAUUGGCCGUUGAUGUCGUCAAUUAUCACAUAUUGUGUCUUCUCCCUUCAUGACACUGCAUAUAGUGAGAUAUUUUCCCUGUGGACUGUAAGUGGUAGAAAAUAUGGUGGACUUAGCUUUUCAUCUAAGGAUGUCGGUCAAGUUCUUACAGUGGCAGGUGUCAGUCUUCUUGUAUACCAAAUCUUUGUUUAUCGUUGGCUCAAUAAUACGCUAGGACCUGUAAACUCAACCCGCAUCGCAUCUGCCCUGUCUAUACCAAUUAUUGCUGCUUAUCCCUUUAUGACACACUUGUCAGGAAUAAGACUUGGUCUGGCUCUCUAUAUUGCAGCAAUGAUUAAAAGCGUUCUUGCUAUAACUAGAGUUUCCGGCACUUCUCUUCUACAAAACAAUGCUGUGCCCCAAGGGCAAAGAGGUGCUGCGAAUGGAAUAGCCACAACAUUAAUGUCCUUAUUCAAGUCUGUUGCUCCAGCUGGGGCAGGUGUUCUAUUCUCGUGGGCACAGAAGCGCCAGCACGCAGCGUUCUUUCCAGGUGACCAGAUGGUGUUCCUUCUACUGAACGUGACAGAGGUCCUUGGGCUCUUGCUGACCUUCAAGCCUUUCCUGGCAGUCCCCCAACACUACAAGUAA